Molecule: ribosomal RNA, 257 nt
Filed under: uncultured Rhizophagus
Lineage: Eukaryota; Fungi; Glomeromycota; Glomeromycetes; Glomerales; Glomeraceae
Description: partial large subunit ribosomal RNA
Rfam family: Eukaryotic large subunit ribosomal RNA
Source: RNAcentral
GAAAGAUGAAAAGAACUUUGAAAAGAGAGUUAAACAGUACGUGAAAUUGUUGAAAGGGAAACGAUUGAAGCCAGUCGUACCUUCGGGUAAUCAGCCUUUCGGGUGCGAUUCUGUGGAGUGUGAGGAGCUUAAACACCUUCAUGUUUUGCAUAUUCGUGCUCUUGGGUGUACUUGCCCGUGUGGUUGGUUAACAUCAAUUUCGGGCACCAUAAAAUGACUGGAGGAAUGUAGCUUCGAUCUUGUAUUGAAGUGUUAUA